This 1742-nucleotide ribosomal RNA is filed under the name freshwater metagenome. RNAcentral's name for it is "bacterial LSU rRNA". It matches the Rfam family "Bacterial large subunit ribosomal RNA", at positions 407 to 2121 of the family's 2925-position model. The record is from RNAcentral.
CUGGAGUUCAGACGUGUGCUCUUCCGAUCUAAUCCUGUCUGAAACUGGGGGGACCACCCUCCAAUCCUAAAUACUACUUACAGAUCGAUAGUGAACAAGUACCGUGAGGGAAAGGUGAAAAGUACUCCAGCGAGGAGAGUGAAAUAGAACCUGAAACCAUUAGCUUACAAUCAUUCAGAGCCCUAUGAUUUAUCAGGGUGAUGGACUGCCUUUUGCAUAAUGAGCCUGCGAGUUGUGGUAUCUGGCAAGGUUAAGUCAAGUACGAAGCCGUAGCGAAAGCGAGUCUUAAUAGGGCGAUUUAGUCAGAUGCUGCAGACCCGAAACGAAGUGAUCUAUCCAUGAGCAGGUUGAAGCUGGUGUAAGAGCCAGUGGAGGACCGAACCCGCAGGCGUUGAAAAGUCUUGGGAUGACUUGUGGAUAGGGGUGAAAGGCCAAUCAAACUUCGUGAUAGCUGGUUCUCUCCGAAAUAUAUUUAGGUAUAGCCUUGUGUUGUAGCAUAUGGGGGUAGAGCACUGAAUGGGCUAGGGCUGCUUACCGCGGUACCAAACCCUAUCAAACUAUGAAUACUAUAUGUGGAAUCACAGGAGUCAGGCGGUGGGUGAUAAAAUCAAUCGUCGAGAGGGGAACAACCCAGACUAACAGCUAAGGUCCCUAAGUUACAUCUAAGUGGAAAACGAUGUGGAGUUACUGUGACAACCAGGAGGUUGGCUUAGAAGCAGCCAUCCUUUAAAGAAAGCGUAACAGCUCACUGGUCUAGUGAUUCUGCGCGGAAAAUAUAACGGGGCUAAGAUGUACACCGAAGCUUUAGAUUCAAUUUUUAAUUGAGUGGUAGGAGAGCGUUCUAUUCAGCGUAGAAGAUGUACCGGUAAGGAGCGUUGGAGCGGAUAGAAGUGAGCAUGCAGGCAUGAGUAGCGAUAAUUGAGGUGAGAAUCCUCAACGCCGAAAACCCAAGGUUUCCUACGCGAUGCUCGUCAUCGUAGGGUUAGUCGGGUCCUAAGUCGAGUCCGAAAGGGGUAGACGAUGGCAAAUUGGUUAAUAUUCCAAUACCAACAUAUAAGCGCGAUGUGGGGACGCAUAGAGUUAGUCGAGCUCACUGAUGGAAUAGUGGGUCGAAGGACGUAGGCUGUUACUUAGGCAAAUCCGGGUAACGUUAGGCCGAGAUCUUACAGGCUCUUGACACUCUUCGGAGGAGAUGGAGAAUCGAUGAUACUGUCGUGCCAAGAAAAGCCACUAAGUAUAUUGUAUGUUGCCCGUACCGUAAACCGACACAGGUGGGUGGGAUGAGUAUUCUAAGGCGCGUGGACGAACUCUGGUUAAGGAACUCUGCAAAAUAGCACCGUAUCUUCGGUAUAAGGUGUGCCUACUUAAGUGGAACCCCAGCGGGUGGAGCUAAGGAGGUUACAAUAAAGAGUCCCUCCCGACUGUUUAACAAAAACACAGCACUCUGCUAACUCGUAAGAGGAUGUAUAGGGUGUGACGCCUGCCCGGUGCUGGAAGGUUAAUUGAUGGUGUUAGCGCAAGCGAAGCUCUUGAUCGAAGCCCCAGUAAACGGCGGCCGUAACUAUAACGGUCCUAAGGUAGCGAAAUUCCUUGUCGAUUAAAUAUCGACCUGCAUGAAUGGCGUAACGAGAUGGGAGCUGUCUCGACCAGAAAUCCAGUGAAAUUGUAGUGGAGGUGAAAAUUCCUCCUACCCGCGGCAAGACGGAAAGACCCCGUGGACCUUUCUAUAUCGUGACUGGGAA